Long non-coding RNA from Tachysurus fulvidraco (yellow catfish), 797 nucleotides. RefSeq lists it as uncharacterized. NCBI's taxonomy places the organism in Eukaryota, Metazoa, Chordata, Actinopteri, Siluriformes, Bagridae. The record is from RefSeq and is a predicted model, not a curated record. The transcript has 2 exons.
CAGCAGAGGGGUGAAAGAGCCACUUGCAGCUCCGGAGCCGCGGGUUGCCGACCCCUGAGGAACUUGACUGGCUUGACGAGUCCUGACCUCAACCCGAUAGGGAUGAAUUAGAGCAGAGGCUGUGAGCUAGACCUUCUCAUACAAAAUCAGUGCCUGACUACAAAUGCACUUCUAGAGGAAUGGUCAAAUAUUCUCAUAAACACACUCCUAAACCUUGUGGAAAACCUUCCCAGAAGAGUGGAAGUUGUUGUCCACACUGAAAAAGGGAUAUCUGCCUUUUGUACCAGGGUCAGCCAAUGAAUGUGACACAUGGCUUGUUAAAAAAUAUGCUAAGCAUUAAAACCUUUUUUAAAAUAGUUUUUAAUCUUUUCUUAGAAUAAAUGUACUUCAAUUAAAGGGUUUUUCCUCCCCAUUUCUUUCAAAUUAACUACUGGCAGUCAAAUCCUUCUUUGUUUACAUGUUCAGUUUUCUUGGUCAGCAGACAUAUAAAACUGUUUGCAAUGCAGUGAAAAAGUUAAUGUCCUGUUUUUAUUUUGUACAAUCUCUCACUGAUCACCAGCUUGAAAGUUAGAGUGGCUUCUGAAGUUCACUGCAUGUGUGUCGUGUUCUGUUUUCAUCACCUCGGAUAACUGGAUAAAUUGAUUGUAUUUACUGUACUAAUGACUAGAAGUUCAGAAGUUUGACUGAUCUAAAGUUUAAUACUUCUAUAAAAUUCCAUAAUACAAAGUCCAUCUCUUUCUAUAUAUUUAAAAGUACAAACAUUUUACAAAACAUCAAAUCUGUUAUUGCACAUUUUC